GAUGAACGCUGGCGGCGUGCCUAAUACAUGCAAGUAGAACGCUGAAGGAGGGGCUUGCUCUUCUGGAUGAGUUGCGAACGGGUGAGUAACGCGUAGGUAACCUGCCUGGUAGCGGGGGAUAACUAUUGGAAACGAUAGCUAAUACCGCAUGACAACAGCUAUUGCAUGAUAACUGUUUAAAAGGGGCAACUGCUCCACUACCAGAUGGACCUGCGUUGUAUUAGCUAGUUGGUGAGGUAACGGCUCACCAAGGCGACGAUACAUAGCCGACCGGAGAGGGGGAGCGGCCACACUGAGACUGAGACACGGCCCAGACGGCUACGGGAGGCAGCAGUAGGGAUUCGGCGGCAAGGGGCGGAAGUCAGACCGAGCAACGCGGCGGGAGUGAGGAAGGUUGUCGGAUCGUAAAGCUCGGUUGUAAGAGAAGAACGAGUGUGAGAGUGGAAAGUUCACACUGUGACGGUAUCUGACCAGAAAGGGACGGCUAACUACGUG
Molecule: ribosomal RNA, 495 nt
Filed under: uncultured bacterium
Lineage: Bacteria
Description: partial 16S ribosomal RNA
Rfam family: Bacterial small subunit ribosomal RNA
Source: RNAcentral